Molecule: long non-coding RNA, 1190 nt
Organism: Oreochromis aureus
Lineage: Eukaryota; Metazoa; Chordata; Actinopteri; Cichliformes; Cichlidae
Exons: 3
Source: RefSeq, a predicted model, not a curated record
GAAAAGUUUAGUGCGGAAGAAGUUGUGAAAAUGUGGAGAUGAAAACCUAAGAAGCUAAAAAUAGAUGCAAGAAAAUGUAUCAAAUUAACCAACAUGUUAGCUGCUGUUAGCCGCUGCACGUGAACAGUAGUACCAGCAACAACUAGUAACCAGGCCUCACAGUCAUAGGAGGCUCCUGCUGCUAGCACCAGCUGUAGAGAAGGGAGGAAGAUGAAAUUAACGUAAGAACAUAGCUGCGGGGACGUAAUUCGGAAGAGUGAUUGAUUCAAGGACAUUCAGGGUUGCAGCUGUAAUACCCCCUUGGCUCUGGAACAAUCUGCCAGAUCGGGGAGGAAUAAUGGGCACGGUUUGGAUGCUUGUGUUGCUUGCAGUUCAGGUAUGUCGCGCAAGUGGUGGAUAACGUAGCACUGAGCUGCCCACCUCCAGCAGAGACGAGAAGAACAGGCUGAAGAGGUCUUCCCAGAGUACUUCUCUUGAAAUCCACACUCACAUUGUUUUUAAAUCAAAUACAUCUUUUGAUUUAAUUGAUACUCAUUCAAGUGACAACUCUUGACGGACUGGAGCUGGAACGGAUUUUUUUCACACUCCCCAACUCCUGUAAGGAGACGCUGAUGGAAGCUCGCCUUUAAAAUACAACAUCAGCUCAAUGAAACAUAAUUCCAAAAGAAGGGUGCACUGUUAAAUGUUGACUUUAGAAACAUUUAAUCUCACCUCAAGGUUCAAUAAGUACACAAGCUAUUCUGGAGCAACAAAAGCAACACUUUUCCCCUCAUGUUUAGUUUAAAUUUGAGCUGGAAAUGUUACUGUUCACCUUGAAAGCAGUAGUUUAUUUGAACGACUAAGGUAUCCAUGAGAAGAAGAAGAAAAAACUCAAAGACUAAGACCUUGUGGUGAGAUCGGAAUAAAAAAAGUUACAAGAACUUAUUUUGUCUUUGCUUCUUUCUGGUCUUGUUUAAAACACAUACAGAUGGGCAGAGUUCUCAAACCAUGCUGAAUUAGUACUAGUUCAUUCCCAAAACUGUUGAUUAGUCCUGACCUUAGCUUAGCUUAAACUUAGUGUCACUUCAAAAGAAAAUAUUAUUUCAGCACUAAAACCGCUGAUAUGUGAUAUCAGCAUCUACAGCCUCACAUUGAUGCAACCAUGCAGGUGAUCACCUUUAAAAAGUCAUUUCUCCUAACCACCCGAUUGU